AGUUUCUCUGUAUAGCCCUGGCUGUCCUGGAACUAACUUUGUAGACCAGGCUGGCCUUGAACUCAGAAAUCUACCUGCCUCUGCCUCCUGAGUGCUGGGAUUAAAGGCAUGCACCACCACGCCUG
RNAcentral lists this microRNA precursor (125 nucleotides) under Mus caroli (Ryukyu mouse). Its description in RNAcentral is "miRNA (MGP_CAROLIEiJ_G0007773.1)". Lineage: Eukaryota; Metazoa; Chordata; Mammalia; Rodentia; Muridae. The record is from RNAcentral.